Molecule: long non-coding RNA, 1529 nt
Organism: Zalophus californianus (California sea lion)
Lineage: Eukaryota; Metazoa; Chordata; Mammalia; Carnivora; Otariidae
Exons: 3
Source: RefSeq, a predicted model, not a curated record
ACAAAGCUAUGAUCAAAAAAGAGAAAGUAAUAUGUUGAGAGAGAGAGAAACAAGAUUACAAAGCAUUCAUUCAACAAAGAUUUGACCAUUUACCAUGGGUCAUGCAAGAGUCUAGCACUGGGGAUACAACAAUGAUCAAAAUAGAACAAAGUUCUUGACCUCAUAAAGCCAACAUUCUAGUAAGGGAAGACAGACUAUAGACGUAUAAAUAAGGAGGCCAGUGUGGCUAGAUGUGAAUAAGCAAGAGAAAAAGUAUAAGAGAGAAGGUUAAAGAGGGGGUCAGAUAUACAGCCAUAGAUAUGACUGAAGAACUUUUGACUGUGAACGAGAAGGGAAGCAGUAAGACCAAGAAGAACCUGAUUUGAUUUCUGUUCUAAAAGGAUCUGAUGGGGAUGCAAGAACUGAAAUGGGAAGACCAGCUAAGAGAUUAAUGUAAUAAUGCACAUGAGAACUGAUGAGGACAUGGACCACAUGGGGAUGGUGUUAAAUCAGAUUCUGGAUGAAUUCUAAAGGACCUGCUAAUAAAUGAGAUGUGGGAUGGAAGAGAAAGAGAACAGUCAAGGAUUCAGCACAGGUUUUACUCUGAGCCACAGCAAAGAUGGAGGUGCCCUUUAAUGAGCUGAGGAAGACUGCAGGAAGUCAAGUUUCAGGGAUAAUUGAUGGAGUGCCUCCCAAAUAUCUCCUGAUUAUUGAUUAAUGCAAAUUGCUGAUUGGAAAGAGAAGUUACCCUAAGCCAGGAGUCUCAUGGGGAAAGCCUGCUGGUCAACCCGACAUGACUACCAGGGUGUGCCACCCAUGGUUGACUGCUCUUCUCUAUCCAGGGCCAGACUUCAGCCUGGCAGACUCACACUUGAUUUAUGAUCUCUCAGGAUGAAUGGAGAAUAGCAGUUCAACAAACAUUUGAGAAAAGCAAGCACCAUGAUGUAGAAAGUCCAAGAUUAAACAUCAACAACAAUAAUAAAAACCCAGAAAAAUCUGUAGCAGAUAAAGAAAAAAAAAUUAGAAGAUAUUUCAAAAAUUUUCGGAAAAAAAGAAAUUUUGAAAAUAAAAGAUAUUCACUUUGAGAUUCACUUUGAGAUACUCUAUCCGAAAGAAGAUACAUGUCCAUAAAGUAAGAAUUGGAUCCUAUAGAAGAGAAACAAUCAAGGAGUAAUAGGUCUUGGAAAUGAAAUACGAUAUCUGAAAUAAAGCAUUCAAUUGAAGGGCUGGAUGACAAAGAUGAAUAAAUGUCUCAGAAAUCUGUAUUGGUUUCAUAUUAUUGCUUUAACAAAUUGCCACAAACUCAGUGGCUUAAAACAACACAAAUUUAUUACCUUAUAGGUCUGGAGGUCAGAAGUUUAAAAUGGAUCUUCUUGGGCUACACUCAAGGGGUGGGCAGGUUCCUUCUGGAGGUUCUAGAGGAGGAUCGGUUUCCUUGGAUUUUUCAGCUUCUAGAGGCUGUCUGCAUUCCCUAACUUGUGGCUCCUUCCUCUGCUUUGAAAGCCAGCAGCAUGGUGUCUUCCAUCUGACCCCUCUCUCUCACUUCUGCU